This 4418-nucleotide long non-coding RNA is filed under the name Salmo salar (Atlantic salmon). RNAcentral's name for it is "lncRNA (ENSSSAG00000121423.1)". Lineage: Eukaryota; Metazoa; Chordata; Actinopteri; Salmoniformes; Salmonidae. The record is from RNAcentral.
CCUCCUACUAUAGAGAUACCCCUAUACCCUUCUAGACAACAAUAUAGACAGAUCCCCUCCUACUAUAGAGAUACCCCUAUACCCUUCUAGACUGCAGAUUGGUGACACAGUAACAGAUAUUCUUACCCAAAGCUAAAUUAAAAUGUAUUUUUUCAGAUGUCUGAGCCUUUCCAUGAUCUUGAUAAAACAGUUGAGUCGCCAUAUCAAUACCAGCGGGGUCCCUUUAGCUAGCCCAGAUCAGUUCCCAAUCUCAUAACUAGCUACCAAGAAGCCAUUUCAGGCUAUCAAUCAAGUUGGAGUAGCUAGCUUGUUUAACUAUCUUAGCUGGCAUGUCUGCUGGACUUUAGAAAAGUUAGUAAUAAUUAAAUGUACUUAGAAAGGAAUGUGAGUCUUAUUAUCUUUUACCCAGAUUUUAGCAGAGAUGCAGAAAUGCACAUUUAGUUUCUUAUAAAAAAAGAACCAGCAGACAGCUCAAGAGGUAUGCUUAGAUAUGCAGAAAAAUAUACAUAUUUUUGACAUAAGCAUAAUGAUUAUGGCUCUAGAUUGCAGGAAAAAGCUGUUUCAGGUGUUUCCAACCCCUGUACUUUGUGCCAACUCAGACUGGAGAAUUCUCCAACCCCCGUACUUUGUGCCAACUCAGACUGGAGAAUUCUCCAACCCCCGUACUUUGUGCCAACUCAGACUGGAGAAUUCUCCAACCCCUGUACUUUGUGCCAACUCAGACUGGAGAAUUCUCCAACCCCUGUACUUUGUGCCAACUCAGACUGGAGAAUUCUCCAACCCCUGUACUUUGUGUCAACUCAGACUGUGCGGGUGCAUAAUUUCCCUGGUUACAUGGUCUUUUCUCUUCAUUGGAAUUACGUAUUUACUACUUGAUUAUUAUAACUGUACAUAGACUUGAUUUACAUACUGUACACCUAGUAUUUAAGUCUGAUAAGAGAAAGGUGGGAGAUGUGGAAUGUGAUUUCUCUGUGUGUAAAGUCUGUUUUCUAACUGGCUAUAUUUACACUGCUAACAUCACCUGAAGGUACUCUCUGUGGUGCUGAAAUGGAUCCAUAGCUCCAGAUGACAAGAAUUAGAACAGUCUUUUCAUUCUGCACCAAAGGGCCGGCGACCCCUUGCUUCAGGGCGGGGCAGGUAGCCUAGUGGUUAGAGCGUUGGACUAGUAACCUAAAGGUUGCAAGAUUGAAUCCCUGAGCUGACAAGGUUAAAAUCUGUCGUUCUGCCUGUUCCUAGGCCGUCAUUGAAAAGAAGAAUUAGUUCUUAGCUGACGCCUAGUUAAAUAAAGGUAAAAUAAAAACUCUACACUCUUAGGUCAACUCAAAAGGUCUAACCCUCCUUUAACUAGAUCUAGCUCAGCAACUUUAAAAGGGCUCAGACAUGCCGAUAUAAUUCGCUGGCUGAGUACUUGGGGAACGUAAUUUGCGAAUAGUGCACGCACCGAGUCGGCUUGGAGAAUCGCGCGAAACAAUUUACCGAACGAUCGGCAGACGAACGCUAGAUCGCGAUGUUUGCGAGCCCUAAACCUCGUUUAGCUAUAAUAGAUCAAAACUCACUUAACCAACUCAAAGUUCUUCACACAUGUAGAAUGUGUCAUCAGUACUCCAUGAGACAGUGAGAAAAAUACUGUAUGUACACGUAGUUUGUAAACAUGCUUGUCAAUCAGUGGAGGCUGCUGAGGGAUGCCACCAACCUCAUGUGUUGUCAUUAUACGUCAAUGUGAAUAAACAGAAAACAUUAACCGUUUGAAGAUAUGAACUCAGAAUGUUCAAACUCACCUUCCUGCUCUUACAUUUUACAUUUUAGUCAUUUAGCAGACGCUCUUAUCCAGAGCGACUUACAAAUUGGCUCUUUAUUCAGGUUACAAUUACAUUACACAUUUUAAUAUCCUAGGACUUCAGUUGCAUUACCUUUCCACUUAAAAAUGGAGUACAAGCAAAUUAUAUUUUUUUUUACAGUAGUCGAAGUGAUAUAUUGUACAAAAAAGAAAGUUUAGAUUUUCUUAUCUACUCGUUCCUUGUUGAAGUUUCAUCUUUCUCCAUGGUUAUAAUACAUCAUCCAUGCUCCAAUCAUGAGAUCAAAACUCUUUCUGCAGUGUGUUGGACCUUCAACAACUGACACUGUUCAAAGAAAUGCACCUUUAUGAAUUGAUAAUCAUUUUAUUUUAUUUGCUUUGACUGUCUAUUGUGUUGGUUAAUUUCUUUACAAUAAAAUGAGAGAAACUUAUCACAAGUCAGAGUUGUACUUAAACUAAAUCUUUAUUCACUUAUUAAUAAGGGAGCAGGUCAAUACAACACACACAUAUAAAGUGAAUCGAUUGAGUGCUCGACGAUAAUGAUGGCUGGUCGACGAAUCACCCUCAGACGAUUCAUUUAGAGGUGAAUCACCCUCAGACGAUUCGUUUAGAGGUGAAUCACCCUCAGACGAUUCGUUUAGAGGUGAAUCACCCUCAGACGAUUCGUUUAGAGGUGAAUCACCCUCAGACGAUUCGUUUAGAGGUGAAUCACCCUCAGACGAUUCGUUUAGAGGUGAAUCACCCUCAGAUGAUUCAUUUAGAGCCCCCGAGACAAAAGUACAAAGGUCUUUUACAGCCAAGAUACACCCCUUUCAGUCUACAUGACGAACAACAGAUGUAUGGAAUGGGUCACAAGGUUAAGAUUAGUAUGAAAGAUACUUGUUAUUCACAGCAGACAGUAUCUGCUGUAAAAACAGUACUCAUUGUGUAAAGACCAGGGUCUGGCCCUGAGGUCAUCUCCCCCUGGUACCAUAUAGAACAGAAACAUUAACUCAUGCUAUGGAAUGCGGUCUCUUUAGGUUUUAUCACCCAAAAGACAUCGGAAAUCUCCUGUUAGUGUUAAAUCUCCCAGAGGCCCACUUUCAGUUCACACAGACACAAUAGAGUUAUAAGAACCCUCUAUGCUGUUGCAUAAAACAGCCAUUUGAUGCAAUAAAAGUAUUAUAACAAUCUUGUAAUUUCUCUCACAGUUUUCAUACAGUGUUGGGGGGGUUGUCUCCCUGUCUGCAUGCUGCCGUCUAUCUGUCUGUCUGCCUGCUGCCAUUGGACUGUCUGUCUGCAUGCUGCCGUCUGUCUGUCUGUCUGCCUGCUGCCAUUGGACUGUCUGUCUGCAUGCUGCCGUCUGUCUGUCUGCCUGCCUGCUGCCAUUGGACUGUCUGUCUGCAUGCUGCCGUCUGUCUGUCUGUCUGCCUGCCUGCCUGCUGCCAUUGGACUGUCUGUCUGCCUGCUGCCGUCUGUCUAUCUGUCUGCCUGCCUGCUGCCAUUGGACUGUCUGUCUGCAUGCUGCCGUCUGUCUGUCUGUCUGCCUGCCUGCCUGCUGCCAUUGGACUGUCUGUCUGCAUGCUGCCGUCUGUCUGUCUGCCUGCCUGCCUGCUGCCAUUGGACUGUCUGCCUGCCUGCUGCCGUCUAUCUGUCUGUCUGCCUGCUGCCGUCUAUCUGUCUGUCUGCCUGCUGCCGUUGGACUGAGCCGUAAACAUAAUGACCGCUGGCCGGGGCUGCUGUCAGUCACUCUCUUGCAGGUAGACUCCGUUUUGUUCAAGAAAACUAAAACAAAGUCAAUCUUUAUGGGAAGCUCAGACUUCCUACCCACUCACUCUCACUAAGUGCUGGUUUCCCAGACCUGGUAGGGAGGGCAUCCACUCAUCAUUCAUCCCUGGUCACCAGUGGCAUGGAAAGGGGGUUCUUUAACAAGCAUUAUACAUUAACCUCUACCAAACUAAACAAACAUGUUUGAUUAAAUGCAGAAAGUGGAUGUUUACCCCCCUGUCCUGCUUUUCCAGCGGACUGGUGUGGGACUAUCCUCCGUAGCCUGCUGUGGGCCAGAGGGGACGAUUCAGACAAAAUAAUACAACCAUCCAUGUGAAAAGGGAGGGGCGUAGGAAGGCAGCAGAGCGCUAGGCCGUGGCCUCGAUGGUGCAUUCUUUAGCCAGGUGACCAGACUUUCCACAGUUGUAGCAGUUGACUUCGCUGGCCUUGCUGCACUGGACGGCAACAUGGCCGAUCUCACCACACCUGGUGGGAGACAGAGAGGAGAGAGAGAUGAGGUUUAGCUAAGACAAGAGAGAGUGUUUUCAUUCAUUUGUUAUUCUGCUAUAACGUCUCAUCUUUUGGAAAGGUGAUGUUUAGGCCUGAUACCAACUAAUUUGUACCGGACACAGAAGUCCUGCCUGCUGAUCAACACACACACACACACACACACACACACACACACACACACACACACACACACACACACACACACACACACACACACCUGAUUCUUGAUGUCCAUUUAUAAAGCUGUUCAGGGCUGCCACAACUCAAACAUAUCACAGGGAAGCAGCUUAACGAUACACUGGCCAGUACACCUUGUAACAAAACAAUAUGUUCUCACAGCCCUUCUGGAUGUGUGUUAACUCACCUG